AGUGAACGCUGGCGGUAGGCCUAACACAUGCAAGUCGAACGGCAGCACAGUAAGAGCUUGCUCUUACGGGUGGCGAGUGGCGGACGGGUGAGGAAUACAUCGGAAUCUACUUUUUCGUGGGGGAUAACGUAGGGAAACUUACGCUAAUACCGCAUACGACCUACGGGUGAAAGCAGGGGAUCUUCGGACCUUGCGCGAUUGAAUGAGCCGAUGUCGGAUUAGCUAGUUGGCGGGGUAAAGGCCCACCAAGGCGACGAUCCGUAGCUGGUCUGAGAGGAUGAUCAGCCACACUGGAACUGAGACACGGUCCAGACUCCUACGGGAGGCAGCAGUGGGGAAUAUUGGACAAUGGGCGCAAGCCUGAUCCAGCCAUACCGCGUGGGUGAAGAAGGCCUUCGGGUUGUAAAGCCCUUUUGUUGGGAAAGACAAGCAGCAGGUUAAUACCCCGCUGUUCUGACGGUACCCAAAGAAUAAGCACCGGCUAACUUCGUG
Molecule: ribosomal RNA, 492 nt
Filed under: uncultured bacterium
Lineage: Bacteria
Description: partial 16S ribosomal RNA
Rfam family: Bacterial small subunit ribosomal RNA
Source: RNAcentral